Molecule: long non-coding RNA, 4990 nt
Organism: Dama dama (fallow deer)
Lineage: Eukaryota; Metazoa; Chordata; Mammalia; Artiodactyla; Cervidae
Exons: 2
Source: RefSeq, a predicted model, not a curated record
UUAAGAGAGUCUGAUACUGGUUGCUGAUCACUAUGUUGUUCUCCUUCAGAAUUGCACACUGGCUUUGCACUAAAUCUAAAUGAAAUUUCCAGUUCGAAAGUAUAAAUGAAAUUUCUACUUUGAAAGUAUAGAUAAAUGAAAGUUUAAUUCCUUUACUAUAUAAAAGGCUUAGAAUUCUAAACAAGCUUUUGCUUCCAAUCUUAAGUCUUUUCAGAAGUGAAGCUCCAUUAGUGAUCUUUGCAUGGCUCAUCCUUCCUAAUAUAUAGUAGAUACUCAAAUUAUUUGUUAAGUAAAUGAGUUUUUGGCUUCUUUUGGAAAAGAGGUGGAACUAAGCAGUACGGCUAAUUUUCCAAGGCUUUUUCUGUUUCAACUUGGGGAAACUUGGAUAUUUACAGAGACUGUGAUUCUUUACAGGCAAGCUUCUUUUCCCGAUCAUCUUUCUUCAAACAGGUCCUGUUGACUUAGGAAACAUCUUGCAUAAAAUUCCUUUUCUCCUUUUAAGUAAAAUGGAAGAAUAAAAUAUAGCAGAACUGUUAUUUCUCCUAGAGAAAAAAUGAUUUGACCUGAUUUGCUUGAUAAUUAGUGAACGUGUGCCUAAUUAUAUCUCAGUAUCUUAUAUAAUAAAAAUGUAACCAGUUGUAAUUUUUAUUGCUCUAGUUUUUUUUCUUUGACUUAUAAUUUGAGAAAAAUAAGCAGAUAAUUGCUUUUCAGAAUUAAUAUUAGUGGCUGAUAGCAUCAUUGAUGAACCAGACUUCAUUGUUCUAUACUGCCUAAGAAAAUAUUCUUUGUCAUCCUAUUAGUAGGAGCUAACCUCCAUGGUUCAAAGUUUCUCUGAAGAGUUCUUUACUCUUAUUAGGUUACUGCCAUUCUGGUUACUUGUACUUAUCAAGUGUUUGUUUAAUUUAUACUAUUUACUAAGCAGUGAAAGCAGGGACCGUGGUACUUGGUACAGAGUUUUAGGGCAUUGCUGUAGAACAGGGUCACUGACCUUAUUCUUCACAACAUGAACUUCUCUUUAUGCGAAAUUAUGGUUCUUCUCUUCCUUGUGGUGUUAAAUUGGAAAUUAUAGUAUGUGAACUAAUGCAGUCAGCCUUUUCUAGCAGAUCUUAGACCAAAUGUUCUUGCCUUAGUGGGGGAAGGGGUUGAUACCUCUUCUGCCUAAACUCACAAGCCAAAAAUUAGGUAGCUUUAUCUUGAACAUGAUAAAAUGUAAAAUGAAAUGAGCAUGUGCAUACUAAAUUGUACCUAAUUCAAACUCAAUAAUAUAACAGCCUAAAAAGAGCAGGUUUUGAGUCGUAACCAGUGUUACCUUUAAAUGGCUGGAUGGCCUGAAGAUAUUGUUCAUCAGAGAAAACUGAGCUCAGUUAAAUGGGAGUAAUCCCUACCCCCAUAGGACUGCUGUGGAGAAAAUCAGUACAAAGACCUUAUGUGACAUAGGAGAUAGCAGCAAUCCCUUCCAGGAAGAAGUACAUUGGACAGUCUUGGUAAUAAAAUUCAGCAGUCUUUUUAAGAGUUUUCUUGAUAACUGUUAACUAUUGUACCUGGUGAGGUAGUUUGUAUAUUUGGGAAGUCUGAGGUGUAUGAAAUGUAAAGGAAAGAAACAAUGGAAAGAUACGUGUUUACUAUUUGGUGGGAAGGGGAAGACUAAUAGCUUGGUCAAGAGCAACAGGUUAUCUGUCCUUUUUCAGCGUAGCAACACUUAAUAUAAGAAUGAAGUCUUUCCUGCUUGUUCUAGAAAGAGAUAACAGAUGACCUGGAGAAGUUUAGUGAUUAGGUGAGCUGUGGAGAUAGUUAAAAGUGAACUAGGGAAUAGAUUACAGGAUUAAAAAUUGAAAUUCAACCAGAAAAACCUAAGAAAGAUCUUAAAGUAUAGGAGGAACAUGUAUACUUUGAACUCUUCAACUCUUCUGACCUGUCCAAAAAAGAGGAAGAAAUUGUAUUCAACCCCAGCAGAGGCAUUUGAAUUAGACAGGUCGGGAGAUAAAGAUACCCUAGAGUAUCUUUAUAGUUUACCAAGAGUAAUUUUGCUUUUCAGUUUUUCUUUUAAAAACACCCAAUUUGGGGACUUCUCUGGUGGUCCAAUGGUUAAGACUUCGCCCUUCAAAUGCAGGGGGUUAAGGUUCACGCCCUUGUUGGGGAACUAAGAUCCCACAUGUUUUGCAGGGUGUGGCCAAAAACUAAAUGCCCAGCUUUGUGAGUAAAACUUACGGUAACAUCUGAGUAGUAGUACAGUGGAAGAUCCUAGUUAGUUGGGUAAUUGAAAAGUAGUUCAAAUGUGUUCCUACUUGUUCUAAACAUUUUCAGUUAAAAUAAAUGUGUAUGUUCAUUUGCCCAUUUCUAGUUUGGAGCUAAGACCUUUUCUUUGAAUGUGCAUAGACCUACAGUUUGAAAAUAACUUACUAGCCACCCCGAAAAGAGAUGCAACCUUUAUAAAGUUGAGCUUACAUAGUAGAGUAAGAACUUAGAAGCUAAAAGAAAAUAAUCAGAAUUUUUCUAAUCUUUCAAUUGGGUUAUCUUUGAAUAACCCAAGUGAUAAGUGUGUGUGUCUCCUUUAAAAAUGGUCAUUUCAAAACUUUCAGUGUAAUUGCAUUAGAAAUGCUUCUUUUCAUACUUAAAUUUGAUAACAAAAAUAGCAUAGCAUUUUAGUAAUUAUAUCCAAGCACAAUGGCGUAGCUUGGGGAACAAAUACAGGACUCAAUAAUGGGAUAACCGCUGAUAGAAACUAAACGGGGUUUCAGGGAGUAGCUGAAAAAUGUAUCUGAAGUUAUUUAGCCCAAAGAUAAAACGAUGACAUGGGCAUUAUUGGUGUUUGCCUAGGAAUGAAAAAGGCCUGGUGUAAAGCCAGUCUGUUAAGUGAGGUUUGGUUAAUCCAGCAAAUUAAGUGAUGGUUCAUUCUAUUAGAACAUUAGGUGGGAAGAGUUGGUUUAUUCAAAAGCAUUUUGCAGUAAUUUUGCAAGAGAUGAGAUUAGAAAGAGAGAGAGGGUGCUGGUUAGAGCAUGAAGGGGUCAGUUAUGUUAUAAAUUAAUGAAUGUGGGACUUAAUGGCCUUGUGAAAACUUUACCCAGAGGAAAUGAUGCCAGAUUUUACCUCUUCCAAGACAUGCGAAAAUAGUUUUGCUUUUAUAAAGAAAAUCAGAGGUAACUUUAUCCCGCUAAUAUCAGAAUUAUAUUUUCAGUGCCCUCCAUCAUAGCUUAUAAUCAUUUAAGUAUUAACUUUGGGUUUUUUGGAAUUGGGGCUUUAACCUAUGAAAGACAUGCCCCCCCGCCGGUGAAUAUAAUUUGUUGUUGACUAGUCUUUCAGUUGUGUUCAACUGUUUUGCGACCCAUGGACUGUAUAGCCCUCCAGGCUCCUUUAUUGGAUUUCUCAGGCAAGAAUACUAGAGUGGGUUGCCAUUUCCCCCUCAAGUGGAUCUUCCCAACACAGGGAUUGAACCCGCAUCGCCUGCAUUGCAAGAGGAAAUCAAAAUUAUGGGUGUUCUGAUGUCAGCUAAGCUCAGAAAAACUUAAUGUAGUCCUCUGAAAUGCUAAUAGGCCUUAGAAUUUUUAAAAAAAAAAAUUCUGAGAUAAUCCCUAUUGUGAUUUCAUCCUGAUUUCCAUCCCUUUUUAUUAUGGUUGUGCAUUGAAUAGAAACACUGCUCUUUAGGGAUUUUUUUGUCCUUUUUUUUUUUUUUUUUUUAAAGUAUUUAUUUCCUGGGUUGCCUCAGGUUUCAGUUGUGUCGUGUGGGAUCUUGGUUGCAGAGUGCAGGAUAUGUCAUUGUGGCAUGUGGGCUCCUUUCCAGCAGUGGUGUGCGGGCUUUAGAGUGUGGAGCUUAGUUGUCUGUUGGCACGUGGGCUCUUAGUUCCCUGACUAGGGAUCAAACCAACUUGCCCUGCAUUGGAAGACAGGUUCUUAAGCACUGAACUACUGCUGUCAAUCUCAGUGUGCUGUAAGCAGGAGUUCCUCCUCCUCUUGAAACUACCUAUUCUUUCUAAGCUCUUAAAUUUUAGCACAUUUUCUAGACUUAACAAUGACAUCUUGGACUCAACUUGGAGUUCUUUUUCUAAUUGUAAGUUAAUUGCUGUGUUGGCUGCAUCAUUGGUUCUCAACUCUUUACAUUCAUGUUGAUGCUCAUUUGUAUGAUAUAUUUCCUGUGGGUAGUAUUCAGGAUUAUUUGCCACUCCCAUUCUACUAGUAGUAGUUCUAUCCCUUACUCUCCCACUCAGAAGCAUAUUGGCAAGAAAGUGAUGUUGUAAGAAUAAACUUGACCUAUUUUUAAUGGAAAGAAGCUAAGUUAUAAACUUUAUAUUGCUAGUGGUGGUCCUUCACUUGGAUUUGCUAUCUUUACUGUUCUUUUCCCAGUUCUGUGCUGAAUACAGAUAGCUCUUAGUCUUAUCUUUUUAUAAAACAAUGCUUUCCUUCUGUGCCUUUGGCUCUUGUUUGGUCGUGUCUUGUCCCUGAUACAAGCCAUUGCCAAUUUCCAUCUUUAUGGCCUGAGGGUUUCUUUACUCUGAUUUAUAAUAGUUGGUACAAAAGUAAUUGUGGUUUCAGACAGUGAGUUUUAAAUAACUAUAACUAGGCUCAAACACAUCUUUAUUAAUCAAAAUAGUGACCAUUACAAUCAACACAUUUUUGCCAACAGAGGAAAGUUUUUUUUGUUUAUUCCUGUAGCAUAAAAAUCUGUGCUUCAUUAUUCGAUGAACUCUUGGAAAGCAUUUUCUGCCUCCUGCUGGGUGUGGAAAUGUUUUGCCUGCACAAAGUUGUCAAGAUGCUUUGAAGAAAUGAUAGUUGGUGAGAGUUCAGGUGAAUAUGGUGGAUGAGGCAAAACAUUGUAGUCAUAUCAUAGCCCAAUGUGUUCAACUUUUGAAGUGUUGGGUGUGUGACAUACCCAUUCUAUUGAUCAGUGCCGCUGCAGGCGUGGCAGUUUUUGAUGCAUCUCAUCGAUUUCCUGAGCAUACUUCUCAGAUGUAAUGGUUUUGCCGGGAUUCAGAGAGCUGUAGUGGGUCACACCAGU